This is a long non-coding RNA of Marmota monax (woodchuck), 419 nucleotides long. RefSeq lists it as uncharacterized. Lineage: Eukaryota; Metazoa; Chordata; Mammalia; Rodentia; Sciuridae. The transcript is spliced from 2 exons. The record is from RefSeq and is a predicted model, not a curated record.
AUUCUGGCACCCUCUCUCAGUAAGUUCCUUCUUCCCAGAACAUCCCUAGUGAAUGAAGAGCCUGAAGAGUCUCUCUGUUCACAGCCAACCUCCAGAGGCCACCACAAUCAGAUGACCAUAAAGAAAUUAUCUGACCUUCCUUGUCUGAUGGCACAUCAUAAGAAUACUGCCCCCCAUCAUAAAUGAUCCUGCUCCAUGCCCCAGGGAAAGAAUAUUGCACAGAGAGGCCAAGAAGAAUCUGAACAGACAGGACUCACUGGGUUUCCCCACUUGAUCAUACCUUUUAGAUCAUACCCUUUUGGUUCAAUCAUAUUUCGACAUGGCUGUCCACACUUCAUUGAGCCUAAAUAUAAAAGUGGAUAUCUACUGUCAUGAAUAUCUAAAAAGAACAAAUAAAAAAAAUUGGAUGGUUCACCCUU